Molecule: long non-coding RNA, 269 nt
Organism: Musa acuminata AAA Group (dessert banana)
Lineage: Eukaryota; Viridiplantae; Streptophyta; Magnoliopsida; Zingiberales; Musaceae
Exons: 3
Source: RefSeq, a predicted model, not a curated record
CCUCCGCUCUCCUUCCCGCGGCCACACUCCUCUUCCCUCCCGAAGCGCUUCUCCUCUUUCCCAGUCCGAAAUCCCAUUGCCGCCCACUACCUUACCUUCUUUGCCCCAUCGCCCCUUCCCGGUCGACCAUCCCCUCUUUUCCGGCCGACUCUUCUCCUCCGCUUCCGCUCCGUCGAAUGUUGUUCUUCUUAGAUCGGGGGAUCAGGUCACUGCUGCGCUCAAAAAAGCGAACCAUGAUAAGUUGCGGGCGAUCUUUUACUUCACGGCCG